GACAGAGGAUGCAAGCGUUAUCCGGAAUGAUUGGGCGUAAAGCGUCUGUAGGUGGCUUUUUAAGUUUGCCGUCAAAUCCCAGGGCUCAACCCUGGACAGGUGGUGAAAACUAUCAAGCUAGAGUACGGUAGGGGCAGAGGGAAUUUCCGGUGGAGCGAUGAAAUGCGUAGAGAUCGGAAGGAACACCAACGGCGAAAGCACUCUGCUGGGCCGACACUGACACUGAGAGACGAAAGCUAGGGGAGCGAAUGGG
This 253-nucleotide ribosomal RNA is filed under the name uncultured bacterium. RNAcentral's name for it is "partial 16S ribosomal RNA". It matches the Rfam family "Bacterial small subunit ribosomal RNA", at positions 524 to 776 of the family's 1533-position model. The record is from RNAcentral.